RNAcentral lists this long non-coding RNA (554 nucleotides) under Felis catus (domestic cat). Its description in RNAcentral is "lncRNA (ENSFCAG00000053393.1)". The record is from RNAcentral. Lineage: Eukaryota; Metazoa; Chordata; Mammalia; Carnivora; Felidae.
AUGCAUCUGUUUGCUCCUCCACUUCUCUCUCCGGUUGAGACUGAAUCUUGCUGUUGCAAGGCCAAUUGGGAAUUUAUAUUUCCCUCAGCAACUUGCCUUGCUGAUUCCAGAAACAAGUGGAAGACAUCCAUUCCCAGACAAAGCGUGUCAGGUUGGAUCUCAAGCUCAGUAUCUUUGAAAGAGGAUGCUUUAACCUACUUCUUCAGAAUUUUCACAACUGGUGCAACAUGGACAGAAAAAAUCACAGUUGCUUCACUGAUGCCAGUGUUUCUGCUGGAACCAGACAGAACAUGGAUGAGCAGAGAUAGGGCAGUAUCAUGGAUCACCAGGAAAAUACUCCUUAUCCAUGAGCAACUGCAUCAUGGGGGGAGACUCUAGUCAAUUUAGUGCUUAGCUUAGUAGGGAAGUUGAAGUGUUCUAAAGAAGAGAUGCCAGUUUUUAACAAAGCCUUUCUGGAGAGCAUCUUUGAAAUCAUCACCAGUCUUUGCAGGUCUGGGUUCAGAUAGAAUCGUCUGUGUUGAAAAUAAAUUGAUAUACUGUAAAAGGGACUAGCA